AAAACAAAGGAGGGAGAGAAGUGAGAACAAAAGCAUGGGAAUCAAAGAAUAAGAGAAAGAAAUCAGCCGAUGAGAAAAUGUUUGCUUUAUUAAGUAGAAGUCUUUUUCUAGACAUUGCACAUUGUUAUUGACUACAUAUCACCACAAUACGUUUGCUGGCCUAUCAAUGAGUUGGAGGCAAUCUAGAUGCAGAUAUCAUAACAUUCUUCAUUAUGUUUUCACCAUCUUUCAUCUACUUUUCUUUAAUCAUCAUCUCCCAUGUAA
Molecule: unclassified non-coding RNA, 264 nt
Filed under: Hevea brasiliensis (rubber tree)
Lineage: Eukaryota; Viridiplantae; Streptophyta; Magnoliopsida; Malpighiales; Euphorbiaceae
Source: RNAcentral